Molecule: unclassified non-coding RNA, 378 nt
Filed under: uncultured Gammaproteobacteria bacterium
Lineage: Bacteria; Pseudomonadati; Pseudomonadota; Gammaproteobacteria
Description: contains 16S-23S intergenic spacer region
Source: RNAcentral
UCACCGCUUGCGCGGGCAGUCUCAUUAGAGUGCUCAGCUUUCCUGUUAGCAACUAAUGACAAGGGUUGCGCUCGUUGCGGGACUUAACCCAACAUCUCACGACACGAGCUGACGACAGCCAUGCAGCACCUGUGUUACGGCUCCCUUUCGGGCACACCCGCAUCUCUGCGGGCUUCCGUACAUGUCAAGGGUAGGUAAGGUUUUUCGCGUUGCAUCGAAUUAAUCCACAUCAUCCACCGCUUGUGCGGGUCCCCGUCAAUUCCUUUGAGUUUUAAUCUUGCGACCGUACUCCCCAGGCGGUCAACUUCACGCGUUAGCUGCGGUACUAGGAAAUCGCUUCCCCAACACCUAGUUGACAUCGUUUAGGGCGUGGACUAC